Molecule: ribosomal RNA, 519 nt
Filed under: uncultured bacterium
Lineage: Bacteria
Description: bacterial SSU rRNA
Rfam family: Bacterial small subunit ribosomal RNA
Source: RNAcentral
AAUAGAUACCCCGGUAGUCCACGCUGUAAACGAUGAGAGCUAGUUGUCGGUGUGCAUGCAUAUCGGUGACGCAGCUAACGCAUUAAGUUCCCCGCCUGGGGAGUACGGCCGCAAAGCUAAAACUCAAAGGAAUUGACGGGGACCCGCACAAGCGGCGGAGCAUGCGGAUUAAUUCGAUGCAACGCGAAGAACCUUACCAAGGCUUGACAUACACCAGAACACCCUAGAAAUAGGGGACUCUUUGGACACUGGUGAACAGGUGGUGCAUGGUUGUCGUCAGCUCGUGUCGUGAGAUGUUGGGUUAAGUCCCGCAACGAGCGCAACCCUCGUUCUAUGUUGCCAGCACGUAAUGGUGGGAACUCAUGGGAUACUGCCGGGGUCAACUCGGAGGAAGGUGGGGACGACGUCAAAUCAUCAUGCCCCUUAUGUCUUGGGCUUCACGCAUGCUACAAUGGCCGGUACAAAGGGCUGCAAUACCGUGAGGUGGAGCGAAUCCCAAAAAGCCGGUCCCAGUUCGGA